RNAcentral lists this unclassified non-coding RNA (157 nucleotides) under uncultured Nemania. RNAcentral describes it as "sequence contains ITS2". The record is from RNAcentral. Lineage: Eukaryota; Fungi; Ascomycota; Sordariomycetes; Xylariales; Xylariaceae.
CAACCCCUUAAGCCUCUGCUGCUUAGCGUUGGGAGCCUACCGGUGCGGUAGCUCCCCAAAGUGAGUGGCGGGGCCGGCUCGUGCUCUGGGCGUAGUAGAUCUCCAUCUCGCCCGUGGCCGGUGCCGGUCUCCUGCCGUAAAACGCCCCAAUUUUUCA